Molecule: long non-coding RNA, 1422 nt
Filed under: Anser cygnoides (Swan goose)
Lineage: Eukaryota; Metazoa; Chordata; Aves; Anseriformes; Anatidae
Description: lncRNA (ENSACDG00005008178.1)
Source: RNAcentral
GCGUCUCCGGAUCCGGGAGCAGGGCCUCUGGGGCGGGUCCCGUCCCAACGGACACAACGGACCUGGUUCCGUGCAGCUGCGACUGCUUGGAGUGCUUUCCGGUGCUCCAGGUGCGAAGCAAAGGCACAAACCGCGGGCACCUUGCCACAGAAACCCAGCGCAGGAGCCAGGGCUGAGGAGCAGGAUGUCGGGGAUCCCCCCCUGCUCCCCGCGAGCGGCCUGGCUGGAGGAGGCUGGGGCCUCCCCGGCCUCCAGGCCCCGGCCGCAGCCCUAUGAGGAGAGUGAGGUGCAGCCACUGCAGGCGCCCUCUGGCUCAGGCGUGGGCCCUUCUGCCUCGGCCGCGCCGCGGCAGGAGGAAGAGGACGCCCUGAGCUUCAUCCGCGCUUGCUGCAGCCGCAGACCCAAGCGAGAGGCACAGAAGCUGAGGUUUCUGGCCUCCGUCUGCGACGCCUGCAAAGCCGCCGUCGCGGACCACACCACCUGGGACGCGGUGUAUUUCUGCCAGCUGGAGGUGGCGCAGAGAAUCAAGGUGAGGGGACGCCCUGCCCCGCGGGGAGCACCCUCUGGCUGGGUGCUGGGCACGGCCCUUCCCGCUGCAGGGCUGCGGGGGCCGCCGGGGAGCCCCAGGAGCCGGGAGGUGGCUCUGGUGGGGGCGCUGGGAUGGGGCAGCCCUGCAGGCCAGCCCCUGUAGNNNNNNNNNNNNNNNNNNNNCAGCCCUAUGAGGAGAGUGAGGUGCAGCCACUGCAGGCGCCCUCUGGCUCAGGCGUGGGCCCUUCUGCCUCGGCCGCGCCGCGGCAGGAGGAAGAGGACGCCCUGAGCUUCAUCCGCGCUUGCUGCAGCCGCAGACCCAAGCGAGAGGCACAGAAGCUGAGGUUUCUGGCCUCCGUCUGCGACGCCUGCAAAGCCGCCGUCGCGGACCACACCACCUGGGACGCGGUGUAUUUCUGCCAGCUGGAGGUGGCGCAGAGAAUCAAGGCGCUGCUGCAGGAGGAGCCCACCGAUCGCCUGGACACGGCGGUGCGGCAGAAAGCCAUGCUCGCCAUCGCCGCCAUGAGCAGAGCGGGGCUGCUGCCGCAGGACAGGACGAACGGCCUCCUGCGCGCCUGCCUCUGCAGCGUCUUCCACCUCCCUGGCCACGAGGACACGAGAGACACGGACACGUCUCUCUACUUCAAGACCGUGGAAGCCCUGGACAGCCUGCUGCAGGUGCUGGUGGGCAGCGCCGGCGCCUCCGGCCUCCUGGAGCUGCAGAACAUCUUGAAGCUCCUGCUGCCCUUCACCCAGCGGCAGCCAGAGGCCGUGGAGGAGAGGGCCAUGGCGCGGAUCGCCAGGCUGGCCGCCUUCAUCAACACCUGCUCCUUGCCCCAGGUAGGGAGCCCCUGGUGCAGGCAGCCCCGGCGCCCCCGUCCUCGCUCCGCGGCC